RNAcentral lists this long non-coding RNA (590 nucleotides) under Daucus carota (carrot). RNAcentral describes it as "long non-coding RNA (DCAR_LNC001324)". Lineage: Eukaryota; Viridiplantae; Streptophyta; Magnoliopsida; Apiales; Apiaceae. The record is from RNAcentral.
UUAAUUUUAUAGUUCACUUGCAAGUUUGCCAAGUUUUAUUGAUUUCUUUUUCAUUUAUCAUGCCACAAGACUACAAGAGUCAGCAAAUCCAUGUCUGCCAUUGGCAACGAAAAAACAACACCAUAUAUAAUCAGUGUGUUGUUUUGUUUGAACUGAGGGACUAAAGCAGAAUGGUGCCGUCUAGCUUCAAAAUCAUUUUUGGAUUGGGAUUCUGAGCGGGAUUUAAUGUUACAUACUGUUAUUCAUUAUUAAUUUCUUAAAACCCUUUUGUGCUGCAGAACACCUAAAAGUUUAGAAGAAUCAGGAUCGUUGAAAGCUAAUCUGAAUGCUGAGACACUCCCUCCAUCAAGAAAACAUGAAGAAGAGGUGGAUGAUGAAAGUGCACGAAAGAAAAGGAAGCAUGAAGAGAAGAAACAGGAGAAGCAUGAAGAGAAGAAACAUGAGAAGCAUGAAGAGAAGAAACACGAGAAGCAUGAAAAGCGUGAGAAGCGACGUACCCGUGCUUCAGUUGACAAAUCGAAACAUUCUCGUGAUUCUGAUGACAGGAGGAAGCACAAGAGAGACAAGGAAAGAAGACGACAUGAUUCUGA